This 107-nucleotide small nuclear RNA is filed under the name Tinamus guttatus (white-throated tinamou). Lineage: Eukaryota; Metazoa; Chordata; Aves; Tinamiformes; Tinamidae. The record is from RNAcentral.
GUGCUUGCUUCGGCAGCACAUAUACAAAAAUUGAAAUGAUACAGAGAGGAUUAGCAUGGUUCCUGUGCAAGGAUGACACACAAAUUAGUGAAACAUUCUGUAUUUUU